Molecule: non-coding RNA, 69 nt
Organism: Trichonephila clavipes
Lineage: Eukaryota; Metazoa; Arthropoda; Arachnida; Araneae; Nephilidae
Source: the annotation of a GenBank genome assembly
CUGUAGCGCAAUGGAUAGCGCGUUGAACUUCUAAUCCGAAGGUAGUGGGCUCGCAUCCCAUCUGAUAGG